CUACUUCUGAAUUGAACAUACAGACUCUAGUUCAAGCCCUCUUCCAUAUUGCUUGACAAUGUACGUGACUCCAUAGGUUCGAACACUAAAUUGAUAGUACAAAAACUAAUUUUUGUACUAAUUAAAGUGAUCAUCUAGCAAUGAUACCUGACGUCCGGAUAUAUCGAAUAAUUACAAAACAACAUUCUAGAACCCUGGCAUAUGGUUACCAUAUAAUUCAUCCCUUUGACCCAAUGCUUAAGAUGACCUCAUAAUUAAACUGUUAAACUCUUGACAAAUCAUCUGUAUUGUAUUUCAACCUUAUAAAUUCUAUGACUGAUCAUUAUCCUGGCCAAAAUUUUACUGAAUUGAAACAUAACAUAGCAUUAUCUCCUUAAACUAGGAGCAGUUCAAUCUCUUCUUGACUCAUAUACAGACUUUACAAGCACUUGACUAUGUCCAAAAACUUUUCAUCACUGUAUUAGAAAUAUAAAUAAUUCAGCAUCAAAGCACAGUGAGUUACUUGCAAGCCACCAUCGUGAUCUCAGGUCGAAGGGAUAUUUAUAUCUAUAUCCUUCACAAGUAGCUCUUAACAGUAGAGCACUCUACAUUUAAGUCACUAUUCAAUAAAAUAUACUCCUAUAUUUUAUCUGCAUGCUAUAUCAGUAUCUCCACACUCUUUGAUUAC
RNAcentral lists this long non-coding RNA (667 nucleotides) under Elaeis guineensis (African oil palm). RNAcentral describes it as "long non-coding RNA (EGUI_LNC031776)". The record is from RNAcentral. Lineage: Eukaryota; Viridiplantae; Streptophyta; Magnoliopsida; Arecales; Arecaceae.